Molecule: RNA transcript, 2381 nt
Organism: Dinoponera quadriceps
Lineage: Eukaryota; Metazoa; Arthropoda; Insecta; Hymenoptera; Formicidae
Gene name: serine/threonine-protein kinase VRK1-like
Exons: 9
Source: RefSeq, a predicted model, not a curated record
UGUCCGCCACCGUAUGAUCCAUUGCGGUAUCGUAGGUUAGCCGAUCCGACACAUCGGCGUAUUAUGUGCUAACAUAUACCGCAUGAUUAAUCAGUAAUUACAUUGUCAUCGCGUGCUCGACGUCUGUAGCCGUUGAUCGUUCCAAGGCGUGUCUGCAACGUUCACGCUUUAAUUUAUCAGAGGACCUGAUCCGUCACAUAUAUCAUCGUAAUGGCAGCGAAAGCGGCGAAGAGAGCACCGCGGAAAAAAGGCGGCUAUCAAAUGCCCGAGGCGAUACCGCUUGGAGAAGUUCUCACGGAUAUAUCGAAGAAACAAUGGAUUCUUGGCAAGUCAAUCGGCGUCGGCGGUUUCGGCGAGGUUUACUCUGCGGCAUCGUAUUCCGGAAAUAUUCCAAAAGAUUAUCCCAAUGUUAUAAAAAUUGAACCGCAUGGAAAUGGCCCAUUAUUUGUAGAAAUGCAUUUCUAUAUGAGGAAUUGCAAGCCAAAUGAGAUUGAUAGUUGGCGAAGAAAAAAGAAACUUGCGGCACUUGGAAUGCCCAAAUAUGUUGCUUCUGGAAGUCAUGAGUAUAAAAAUACAAAGUAUCGAUUUUUAGUAAUAGAUCGAUACGGGACAGACUUGUGGAAAAUUUUUGAGGCUAAUAAUAGGCAAUUCCCAGAGCACACAGUAUAUAAACUAGCUUUACAAAUAAUAGAUAUAUUAGAGUACAUUCACCACAAAACUUAUGUGCACGCUGAUAUUAAAGGUGAAAACUUGUUACUGGAUUUAAAAACCUUCGAUCAAGUUUAUUUAGUGGACUUUGGUUUAGCCUCUCACUGUACAACAAGUACCGAAUUAAAAGUUGAUCCAAAAAAAGCACACAAUGGAACUUUACAAUACACAAGUAGAGAUGCCCAUAUGGGAGUGCCAACACAGCGUGGUGAUAUUGAAAUUUUAUGUUACAAUAUGAUUCUUUGGUUGUGUGGCUCACUUCCAUGGGAAAAAUUAGUCGAUAAAGUUAUCGUUCAGAAAGAGAAAGAAAAAGCUUUCGAAAACAUUGAUAGUUUCCUGAACAAAUGUUUCCAUGGAUCAACUCCACAAGCUAUGCAAAAAUGUAUGACUUUAUUAAGCAAUAUGAAGUUUAACGAAACACCGUGUUAUGAAAAAUUUAAAGAUACGUUAAUAGCUGGGUUGAAGAAACUAAAUCAUAAACCAGAUGGAAAGUUAGGAUUGAAAACCACGCCUGCUCAACAGAAUUCUGUUAAAUCUACGCCACAAAAAGUAAGGAAACUAGAUCAAGUCAGACAAAGUCCGCGUUCGAAACAUGUAGCCGCCCCAAGUAAUUCUUUAAGAAAUAAUCAAAGAGAAAGCACUAUAGGUAUUGUGAUUGAUAAAAAACGCGGUAAUAAGAAAGAUAUUAAGAAGGUAUUAGAAGAUAUAGAUCCUGAUGGUGAAUAUGAUAUUAAAAUUGUUCAAAAAACGAAAAAAUCCGAGUCCGAUGACGAAGUGCCUGAAGCAACGAAGAAAGCGACCUUGUUGAGCAGUAGAAAGAAAAUGCGAGUCAAUUAUGUUGAUGAUGAUUCGGAAAAUGAUUCAAUGGAGCCGUUGAUGAAGCGUCCAAAUAAAAUGCGACAGAAGAAACCAGCUACGAGUAAAACGAGGCGGAAAGUCAUUUCUCUGGAUGAUUCAACAACCGUUUCUGAGCCUGAGCCCGAGAUUGUAUCAAAAGGAACGAGAUCAAGACCGGCUACUACUGUUGGGAGGAAAGUAACUGCCAAAAAGAAUAUGUUACAGUUCAAUAAACCAACAUUGUUUGAAACUGAGUCGGAGGAGGAUAUAUUCGAUAUGUAGUUCCUCGAGUUGAGACAGUGACCAAGUACAUAAAAUAGUUGUGAGAAAUGUACUAUAAAAGAUAUCCCCGAAACUACGUAUCUUAUAUAUAUACUUUUCUUGCACUAUAUUAACACUAUGCCGUCCGGGGACACCACGUUGGUGUCCCGCGAAAACGAUCGUGCAAAGGCCGGCGACACCACGUUGGUGUUGUGCGCAAAACUAUCGCAGAAAGGCCGGCGACAUCACGUUGGUGUCGUGCGCAAAACUAUCGUGCAAAGGCCAGCGACAGCAUUGUGGUACCGUUUGUAUUCUGAUUGUGUACUGUUGGUGUUCUGUUUGUGUUCUGUUUAAGUAACAAUAAGUUACAGACAUCAUGAUUCGAUCGACAGACUUUCCGGUCAGCUAAAGCAACACCAGCUGAUACAAAUUUCCGAAACCGACAAACGAAAACGAAGAAAGUGCCAUGUAUGUUCCAAAAACAAAAAAAGAAGGACAACAAAUUUAAUGGGUAAUUCUUGUAGAGUCGUGUUACUCCUCGGAGAUUGUUUUGCUUCAUAUCAUCUAAAAGAGAA